CCGGCGCGGGGUCCCGGCGGGCCGCGGAAGCCUCAUGGCUCCGCUGGUCUCGUCGGGGGCUCUCGCGUCGGCCCUGCACUUCCGCGAGGAGCCGGCCAACGGCGGUUGCCUUCGGCUCGGCGGGCGUCUUGGGGAGGUGGCUCCGCGCUUGCGCGGAGACCGUACAGCCCAGGCGCGCGGCAGUUCGGGGGCGACCGAGGAGAGCGCUUGCGGUCCUUCGCACGCUGCGGCGCGGGCCGACUCCGGUCGGCUGCGGCCCCGCGUCGGGGCGGCUCCCGCUCGGGUGCACUGCGUGCAGUGCCCUGGGACGGCUGAGCUUUCCCGGUCGUGGAGGCACGACAACUCGCGCCGAGGUCGUUGGCGUCCGAAUGGCUGCAUCCGACCCGUCUUGAAACACGGACCAAGGAGUGCAACAUGCGCGCGAGUCUUUGGGUGGCAAACCCCUCGGCGCAGUGAAAGCGUAAGCGGGCUCGUCCCGCCGUGGCGAGAGCCUCGGACCUCCGGGUCGGGGGCGCAUCGUCGACCGAUCCCGUUCCACGCCGYG
RNAcentral lists this ribosomal RNA (544 nucleotides) under Mycale sp. 10 JV-2020. RNAcentral's name for it is "partial large subunit ribosomal RNA". Lineage: Eukaryota; Metazoa; Porifera; Demospongiae; Poecilosclerida; Mycalidae. The record is from RNAcentral.